GAUGAACGCUGGCGGCGUGCCUAAUACAUGCAAGUCGAGCGAAUGGAUUAAGAGCUUGCUCUUAUGAAGUUAGCGGUGGACGGGUGAGUAACACGUGGGUAACCUGCCCGUAAGACUGGGAUAACUCCGGGAAACCGGGGCUAAUACCGGAUAACAUUUUGAACCGCAUGGUUCGAAAUUGAAAGGCGGCUUCGGCUGUCACUUAUGGAUGGACCCGCGUCGCAUUAGCUAGUUGGUGAGGUAACGGCUCACCAAGGCAACGAUGCGUAGCCGACCUGAGAGGGUGAUCGGCCACACUGGGACUGAGACACGGCCCAGACUCCUACGGGAGGCAGCAGUAGGGAAUCUUCCGCAAUGGACGAAAGUCUGACGGAGCAACGCCGCGUGAGUGAUGAAGGCUUUCGGGUCGUAAAGCUCUGUUGUUAGGGAAGAACAAGUGCUAGUUGAAUAAGCUGGCGCCUUGACGGUACCUAACCAGAAAGCCACGGCUAACUACGUGCCAGCCGCCGCUGUAA
This 515-nucleotide ribosomal RNA is filed under the name uncultured bacterium. RNAcentral describes it as "partial 16S ribosomal RNA". It matches the Rfam family "Bacterial small subunit ribosomal RNA", at positions 28 to 523 of the family's 1533-position model. The record is from RNAcentral.